UACGUAGGGGGCAAGCGUUGUCCGGAUUUACUGGGCGUAAAGAGCGUGUAGGCGGCCAAGCAGGUCCGUUGUGAAAACUGGAGGCUUAACCUCCAGACGUCGACGGAAACCGCGCGGCUAGAGUCCGGAAGAGGAGAGUGGAAUUCCUGGUGUAGCGGUGAAAUGCGCCAGAUAUCAGGAAGAACACCAAUGGCGAAGGCAGCUCCUCUGGGACGGUAC
RNAcentral lists this ribosomal RNA (219 nucleotides) under uncultured bacterium. RNAcentral describes it as "partial 16S ribosomal RNA". It matches the Rfam family "Bacterial small subunit ribosomal RNA", at positions 524 to 740 of the family's 1533-position model. The record is from RNAcentral.